AUGGGCUGUUUAUCGUCUCUGUGCUCGAAAUCUUCUGUUAAAAUAUAAGCAGGUUUGAGUCUUUCGAUUGAUACAGUAACUGGUCUAUCUUUUAUGAUGAUCUUAAAAACUUUGCUGCUUCUUUCUAACACUUCGUGUGGUCCGGUAUAAGCAGGUUGAAGUGCUAUAGGUAGGCGACUAAUCCAAAUCGUUUUUGUAAAG
This 201-nucleotide unclassified non-coding RNA is filed under the name Melitaea cinxia (Glanville fritillary). RNAcentral's name for it is "misc RNA ENSMCXG00005016352.1". The record is from RNAcentral. Lineage: Eukaryota; Metazoa; Arthropoda; Insecta; Lepidoptera; Nymphalidae.